Molecule: unclassified non-coding RNA, 433 nt
Filed under: uncultured Russula
Lineage: Eukaryota; Fungi; Basidiomycota; Agaricomycetes; Russulales; Russulaceae
Description: sequence contains ITS2
Rfam family: 5.8S ribosomal RNA (bases 1-154)
Source: RNAcentral
AACUUUUGGCAACGGAUCUCUUGGCUCUCGCAUCGAUGAAGAACGCAGCGAAGUGCGAUACGUAAUGUGAAUUGCAGAAUUCAGUGAAUCAUCGAAUCUUUGAACGCACCUUGCGCCCCUUGGAAUUCCGAGGGGCACACCCGUUUGAGUGUCGUGAACAUCCUUCAACCUUUCUUGGUUUCUUAACCGGGGAAGGCUUGGACUUUGGGGGUCUUUCAUUGCUGGCCUCUUUGAAGCCAGCUCCUCCUAAAUAGAUUAGUGUGGUCUGCUUUGCCGAUCCUUGACGUGAUAAGAUGUUUCUACGUCUUGGGUUUCGCACUGUCGCUUUAGACCCCGCUUCUAACCGUCUUGCGUUCAAGACAGAGUUUUAAACCUUGACCUCAAAUCGGGUGAGACUACCCGCUGAACUUAAGCAUAUCAAUAAGCGGAGGCU